GACGUAGGGCGCGAGCGUUGUCCGGAUUUAUUGGGCGUAAAGAGCUCGUAGGCGGUUCGGUAAGUCAGGUGUGAAACCUCCAGGCUCAACCUGGAGACGCCACCUGAUACUGCUGUGACUCGAGUCCGGUAGGGGAGCGUGGAAUUCCUGGUGUAGCGGUGAAAUGCGCAGAUAUUGGGAGGAACACCAGUGGCGAAGGCGGCUCACUGGACCGGUACUGACGCUGAUGCGCGAAAGCGUGGGGAGCAAACGGG
This 254-nucleotide ribosomal RNA is filed under the name uncultured bacterium. RNAcentral's name for it is "partial 16S ribosomal RNA". It matches the Rfam family "Bacterial small subunit ribosomal RNA", at positions 524 to 776 of the family's 1533-position model. The record is from RNAcentral.